GAGUGGGCGGAGGGGGAGGUGGAGGCAUCUGCAGCUGGACAGAGAAGUGGUGCUUUGUUUCUCUGUGCCUCAGUUUCCCUCUUGGUAAAAUAGGCAUGGUUCCUCCUAUGGAUGUAAGAAGGACCUAGGAACCUUUGCAAGGGCAGAGGAGUCCGCCCCUCUGGUCUGACUGGGAGACAAGGUGUUCCCCAAUCUGAUGGUGGGGACAAGGUGGCCCAACACAGUGGGAAAAAUAAGGAAACUAAGGAGCUCUCACCAAACCCAUGAGGGAGACAGGAUUGUCCAAAUCCAAUGAAGAAGACAAGAAGCUCCAGUCCUGUGCAGCAAGAACGAGUGUCCAGUCUAUAUUUCCAGUCUGCCAGGGGAGGUGCUGUUCUAGGCGCUGAGGAUGCAGCCGUGCACAAGACGGAUGAAAUCCCUGCCCUCAGGGGCCGACAU
This 438-nucleotide long non-coding RNA is filed under the name Pan troglodytes (chimpanzee). Its description in RNAcentral is "long non-coding RNA NONPTRT008550". Lineage: Eukaryota; Metazoa; Chordata; Mammalia; Primates; Hominidae. The record is from RNAcentral.